GCCGGGCGUGGUGGCUCACGCCUGUAAUCCCAGCACUUUGGGAGGCCGAGGUGGGAGGAUUGCUUGAGCCCGGGAGUUCAAGACUAGCCUGGGCAACGUAGCAAGACCUCAUCUUAA
Unclassified non-coding RNA from Pongo abelii (Sumatran orangutan), 117 nucleotides. It matches the Rfam family "Metazoan signal recognition particle RNA". Rfam says of the family: The signal recognition particle (SRP) is a universally conserved ribonucleoprotein. It is involved in the co-translational targeting of proteins to membranes. The record is from Ensembl. Lineage: Eukaryota; Metazoa; Chordata; Mammalia; Primates; Hominidae.